AGUGAACGCUGGCGGUAGGCCUAACACAUGCAAGUCGAACGGCAGCACAGUAAGAGCUUGCUCUUACGGGUGGCGAGUGGCGGACGGGUGAGGAAUACAUCGGAAUCUACUUUUUCGUGGGGGAUAACGUAGGGAAACUUACGCUAAUACCGCAUACGACCUACGGGUGAAAGCAGGGGAUCUUCGGACCUUGCGCGAUUGAAUGAGCCGAUGUCGGAUUAGCUAGUUGGCGGGGUAAAGGCCCACCAAGGCGACGAUCCGUAGCUGGUCUGAGAGGAUGAUAGGCAAAACUGGAACUGAGACACGGUCCAGACUCCUACGGGAGGAAGCAGUGGGGAAUAUUGGACAAUGGGCGCAAGCCUGAUCCAGCAAUACCGCGUGGGUGAAGAAGGCCUUCGGGUUGUAAAGCCCUUUUGUGGGGAAAGAAAAGCAGCAGGUUAAUACCCCGCUGUUCGGACGGUACCCAAAGAAUAGCACCGGCUAACUUCGUG
RNAcentral lists this ribosomal RNA (491 nucleotides) under uncultured bacterium. Its description in RNAcentral is "partial 16S ribosomal RNA". It matches the Rfam family "Bacterial small subunit ribosomal RNA", at positions 29 to 507 of the family's 1533-position model. The record is from RNAcentral.